Molecule: ribosomal RNA, 253 nt
Filed under: uncultured bacterium
Lineage: Bacteria
Description: partial 16S ribosomal RNA
Rfam family: Bacterial small subunit ribosomal RNA
Source: RNAcentral
UACGUAGGUGGCAAGCGUUGUCCGGAUUUACUGGGUGUAAAGGGCGUGUAGCCGGGUUGACAAGUCAGAUGUGAAAUCCUGCGGCUUAACCGCAGAACUGCAUUUGAAACUGUUGAUCUUGAGUACUGGAGAGGCAGACGGAAUUCCUAGUGUAGCGGUGAAAUGCGUAGAUAUUAGGAGGAACACCAGUGGCGAAGGCGGUCUGCUGGACAGCAGCUGACGGUGAGGCGCGAAAGCGUGGGGAGCAAACAGG